GAUGAACGCUGGCGGCGUGCCUAAUACAUGCAAGUCGAGCGAACAGACGAGGAGCUUGCUCCUCUGACGUUAGCGGCGGACGGGUGAGUAACACGUGGAUAACCUACCUAUAAGACUGGGAUCACUUCGGGAAACCGGAGCUAAUACCGGAUAAUAUAUUGAACCGCAUGGUUCAAUAGUGAAAGACGGUUUUGCUGUCACUUAUAGAUGGAUCCGCGCCGCAUUAGCUAGUUGGUAAGGUAACGGCUUACCAAGGCGACGAUGCGUAGCCGACCUGAGAGGGUGAUCGGCCACACUGGAACUGAGACACGGUCCAGACUCCUACGGGAGGCAGCAGUAGGGAAUCUUCCGCAAUGGGCGAAAGCCUGACGGAGCAACGCCGCGUGAGUGAUGAAGGUCUUCGGAUCGUAAAACUCUGUUAUUAGGGAAGAACAAAUGUGUAAGUAACUAUGCACGUCUUGACGGUACCUAAUCAGAAAGCCGCGGCUAACUACGUG
RNAcentral lists this ribosomal RNA (497 nucleotides) under uncultured bacterium. RNAcentral describes it as "partial 16S ribosomal RNA". It matches the Rfam family "Bacterial small subunit ribosomal RNA", at positions 28 to 507 of the family's 1533-position model. The record is from RNAcentral.